RNAcentral lists this long non-coding RNA (317 nucleotides) under Elaeis guineensis (African oil palm). RNAcentral's name for it is "long non-coding RNA (EGUI_LNC052950)". The record is from RNAcentral. Lineage: Eukaryota; Viridiplantae; Streptophyta; Magnoliopsida; Arecales; Arecaceae.
CCUGUGCAGAUGUCCUAGUAUACAGCUGUACCUUCUUAUUCUUCUUCUUCUUGUUCUUCUUCCCUUUCUUAAAGGGUCAACGACUAGAAGAAGACCCUCCCAUAAUAUUCACCGACUCCUUAUGGAGCUGGUGGUCAUUCUCAAAGUUCUGCAGCAAUCUCAACAAGCCGUGGUAGUUCACUGCAGAUUUUGUCAUCCAUAAAUGAGUAAGGAAGGGGAGGAAGGACUUGGACAAAGAAUUAAGGAUCGCAUCCUUACCGAGCUGCUCGUGCAAGGAAAAGCCCAGUUUACUUAGGUGCUCAAUCAUUUCGAUCAUG